RNAcentral lists this long non-coding RNA (924 nucleotides) under Homo sapiens (human). Its description in RNAcentral is "HSALNT0289716". The record is from RNAcentral. Lineage: Eukaryota; Metazoa; Chordata; Mammalia; Primates; Hominidae.
AAAGAUUCACCAAGGACUCCAGUACCUGGGGCCAGGCAGGAGAAGGGAGCAUGGCUCUUUGGGGUGGCUGCAGCAGCCUGGCCCCUCCAGCGGCUGCACGGGAAAGAAGGAAAGCUCCGUAAGGCUGACCGGGAAAGAAGCGAGGAGCUCUGGGGGCUGGGUGGAAAGUCCCGUACUCAUCAGGGCCAGGGAGGCCACAGAAACUACCUCACGCCAGCUUCCCAGGGGUACAGCGGCUAGAAUGGACCUCGAGGAGGCCCCUCCCAAGACUCCCGUCUCCCGGGUUCCACCGCAGUGGGGGCAGCCACAGCUGCCUCUGCAAUGCUUGUAGGACCCACACACAGUGGGGCACGGAGGGGCAGAGGCCGCAGCCCCUUUGCCAUGAAUCCAAAGAACCUGGAGUGAUUCUGCAGAGACGUUCGAACCAGAGCGACUCCAUCUUGAACAGGGGCUGGGUAAAAUGAGGCCGAGACCGGCUGGGCCGCAUUCCCUGGAGGUCAGGCAUUCUUAGUCACAGGAUGAGAUCAGCACAAGAUACAGAUCACAAAGACCCCGCUGAUAAAACAGGAUGCCGUGAAGAAGCCGGCCCCAAACCACCAAAACCAAGACAGCCAGUCCUCACUGCUCAUUAUGUGCUGAUUAUAAUACAUUAGCAUGAGACACGCCCACCAGCACCAGGACCAUUUACAGUUGCCAUGGCAAUGCCGGGAAGUUACCCUAGAUGGUCUAAAAGGGGGAAGAACCCUCACUUCCGGGAAUUGCCUGCCCCUUUCCCGGAAAAGUCCGGAAUAAUCCACACCAUGUUUAGUACAUAUCAAGAAACAACAAUAAGUGUUCUCGUCGGAGUAGCCCAGGCCGCUGCUCAGCCUAUGGGGCAGCCCUUCUCUUAUUCCUUUACUUUCCUAUUAAACUUGCUUUCAGUUU